This 237-nucleotide ribosomal RNA is filed under the name uncultured Staphylococcus sp. Its description in RNAcentral is "partial 16S ribosomal RNA". It matches the Rfam family "Bacterial small subunit ribosomal RNA", at positions 103 to 334 of the family's 1533-position model. Lineage: Bacteria; Bacillati; Bacillota; Bacilli; Caryophanales; Staphylococcaceae. The record is from RNAcentral.
CGGGUGAGUAACACGUGGAUAACCUACCUAUAAGACUGGGAUAACUUCGGGAAACCGGAGCUAAUACCGGAUAAUAUAUUGAACCGCAUGGUUCAAUAGUGAAAGACGGUUUUGCUGUCGCUUAUAGAUGGAUCCGCGCCGCAUUAGCUAGUUGGUAAGGUAACGGCUUACCAAGGCAACGAUGCGUAGCCGACCUGAGAGGGUGAUCGGCCACACUGGAACUGAGACACGGUCCAG